Molecule: long non-coding RNA, 204 nt
Filed under: Lathyrus oleraceus (garden pea)
Lineage: Eukaryota; Viridiplantae; Streptophyta; Magnoliopsida; Fabales; Fabaceae
Description: Pisum sativum (pea) long non-coding RNA (PSAT_LNC036602)
Source: RNAcentral
AGUGUAGAUUCUAAGUCUUUAGUGGAGUGGGUUCAAUACCCACAUAUUGCAUUUUCUUUAUUUCUUUUAGCAUUCAUUUUUUUUCUAUGUUUGUGUUUUAUUAUAAUUUCACCCAUACUCGUAGUUGUAUUAUUGUUUAAUAACACAAAAUCUGUUUUUUUAUUAAUUUCAUCAUUCAUUCAAAACCAUUUUAAACUAUUAAAA